Molecule: ribosomal RNA, 253 nt
Filed under: uncultured bacterium
Lineage: Bacteria
Description: partial 16S ribosomal RNA
Rfam family: Bacterial small subunit ribosomal RNA
Source: RNAcentral
UACGUAGGCAGCGGGCGUUGUUCGGAGUUACUGGGCGUAAAGCGUGCGCAGGCGGUUCGUUGUGUCGGUGGUGAAAGCCCCGGGCUUAACCUGGGAAUGGCCAUGGAAACUGGCGAACUGGAGUGUGGCAGAGGGGGGUGGAAUUCCGCGUGUAGCAGUGAAAUGCGUAGAGAUGCGGAGGAACACCGAUGGCGAAGGCAGCCCCCUGGGCUAGCACUGACGCUCAGGCACGAAAGCGUGGGGAGCAAACAGG